CUUAUGCGUUGUUGGGUAGGGGAGCGUUCUGUAAGCCUGCGAAGGUGUGCUGUGAGGCAUGCUGGAGGUAUCAGAAGUGCGAAUGCUGACAUAAGUAACGAUAAAGCGGGUGAAAAGCCCGCUCGCCGGAAGACCAAGGGUUCCUGUCCAACGUUAAUCGGGGCAGGGUGAGUCGACCCCUAAGGCGAGGCCGAAAGGCGUAGUCGAUGGGAAACAGGUUAAUAUUCCUGUACUUGGUGUUACUGCGAAGGGGGGACGGAGAAGGCUAUGUUGGCCGGGCGACGGUUGUCCCGGUUUAAGCGUGUAGGCUGGUUUUCCAGGCAAAUCCGGAAAAUCAAGGCUGAGGCGUGAUGACGAGGCACUACGGUGCUGAAGC
This 376-nucleotide ribosomal RNA is filed under the name Escherichia coli. RNAcentral describes it as "partial 23S ribosomal RNA". It matches the Rfam family "Bacterial large subunit ribosomal RNA", at positions 1213 to 1591 of the family's 2925-position model. Lineage: Bacteria; Pseudomonadati; Pseudomonadota; Gammaproteobacteria; Enterobacterales; Enterobacteriaceae. The record is from RNAcentral.